GGGCUCUGCUGUUGACCUCCAAUGCAGGAGAAAAGCAAGCUGCCAGGAGCUGUUGUGUAUGUUUGCCCUCCUAUCCUGCUAAUGCAUAUUGGACAGCUUCACACUGCUGCUUUAAAGCAGAUGUUCUUGAAGAGCUGGAGGGGCAGGGCUGGCCGGAGCAUCUCUGCACAGGUAUCUGCAGAUGUGAGUUCCACAUGCAGAUCUCUUGCUCUUCAGACUUCAAAACCUGAUUUCAUAGGUCUUUUCUAUAUAUUUGAGGUCAUCCAUACUGAGAAUAAGAAGCCUGACAGCUGCUAACAGCAAAGAAUACAGAUGAUAAUCAGAGCUGAUAAUCACCUGUCAUAUAAAAAAAAAAUAAAUAAAAUGAAAAAGACA
RNAcentral lists this long non-coding RNA (375 nucleotides) under Cyanistes caeruleus (blue tit). Its description in RNAcentral is "lncRNA (ENSCCEG00000002299.1)". The record is from RNAcentral. Lineage: Eukaryota; Metazoa; Chordata; Aves; Passeriformes; Paridae.